CGUGGGCUCAUCAUGACCGUGGAUUUGAGCAGACAUCGUGAAUGGGUGAAAAAGUACUAUCGUUCUUCUUCCUUCGGCUAGGGUUUGGUGCAACAACUUGCACCAGGCCUGGAGUCUCAGCCUCAGGGCAUAUCUGUUUCCAGUCUCUUUGAGUGCGGCUAGCGUCUGUCCAUGGAGGAUCUAAAGGUAUGGCAUGGCAAGGCAAGCAAUGGAGACAUUUUUGUUCAACUAGCAAGUAAGUAGUUCGAAAUUGAAAAUUGGUGUGCUAGGGAAUUGUUAUGAAUUUGGGAAGUAUUUUGAUUAGUGAUUGGGUUUACAAGAAGUUUGUGUCUUAUGGAUCUUACUAAUUUCAAAUUAUACAUGUUUGAUGAUAAAA
Amborella trichopoda is the source of this 376-nucleotide long non-coding RNA. RefSeq lists it as uncharacterized. The record is from RefSeq and is a predicted model, not a curated record. NCBI's taxonomy places the organism in Eukaryota, Viridiplantae, Streptophyta, Magnoliopsida, Amborellales, Amborellaceae.